Molecule: ribosomal RNA, 430 nt
Filed under: bacterium
Lineage: Bacteria
Description: partial 16S ribosomal RNA
Rfam family: Bacterial small subunit ribosomal RNA
Source: RNAcentral
UGGGGAAUAUUGGACAAUGGGGGGAACCCUGAUCCAGCCAUGCCGCGUGUGUGAAGAAGGCCUUUUGGUUGUAAAGCACUUUAAGCGAGGAGGAGGCUACCGAGAUUAAUACUCUUGGAUUGUGGACGUUACUCGCAGAAUAAGCACCGGCUAACUCUGUGCCAGCAGCCGCGGUAAUACAGAGGGUGCAAGCGUUAAUCGGAUUUACUGGGCGUAAAGCGCGCGUAGGUGGCCAAUUAAGUCAAAUGUGAAAUCCCCGAGCUUAACUUGGGAAUUGCAUUCGAUACUGGUUGGCUAGAGUAUGGGAGAGGAUGGUAGAAUUCCAGGUGUAGCGGUGAAAUGCGUAGAGAUCUGGAGGAAUACCGAUGGCGAAGGCAGCCAUCUGGCCUAAUACUGACACUGAGGUGCGAAAGCAUGGGGAGCAAACAGG